Non-coding RNA from Paramuricea clavata, 1275 nucleotides. Lineage: Eukaryota; Metazoa; Cnidaria; Anthozoa; Malacalcyonacea; Plexauridae. The record is from the annotation of a GenBank genome assembly.
GGGGGGGAUAAAACCCUAGUAGGGAACCACCUCCAGACCAAUUUACACUCACCUGCGACAAAAUAGGGAGGUUGUGUGCUUGAUUUGCACAGUGCAACUCAAGUUGUAAGCAUCUUGCAUGGGACCAUCUGAUGCACAAGACUUUCCUCUUGAUGAGUAAAAUGAUCUGAUAUCAGACAUUUGAGUUCCUUUGCAGCUUAAGGAGUUAAUCCUAUUUAUCUUAGAGAACAGCAAUUCAACUAUCUGGCUGGCUUGACAAAUAACUAUACACCAACAAUGUGUGCAAAGGCAAUUAAGUGUAUCCUUGGAAAAUUUUAUCUGACAUUAUGCAGAGUUGUUUACAACUUUUUUGUUCAAGCCUAGUGACUUAUUUCAGUGCAUGAAAAUCAUCCCACCUUUCAUCCUGUCCUGACAAACUGGGAUCAUGUAAACAGCACAUUUAGCCAUUAUGUUGAUUUGCACUCUAAUUUUCCUACUUAUAUUAUUUAACUCUGUCUAACGUCAUACAAUUUUAUUAAGCAGGUACACUGGCAGUUAAUUAAUGGGUAACUAGACACAUGGGCAGUCACAUUAUGAAGCAUAAAAUCGUCUAGCGUUGGACAGUAAAAUACUCGAGUAGAGCAUGCAUCAGGGCACAGUACAACCUGAUGGUUAAAUUUGUUUUUUGUAGCAAAAUGGUUUAAGUUUUAUAUCUGAAUUUUUAAUUUUUUUUUUUUGCUUUGUUUUACAGAUCAUUACUUGAACGUGCUGAUGAAAUAUUUAUAAAAUAUCAUGUUACCAAGAUGACAUGCCUCGAAGAGCAAUACAUGAGGGAAUACCUCUAUUUCUAAUCAAAUUACAACAAUACACCAAAGACAGUAGUUCUCGGAUGAAAUGAAAGGAUUGAUAAAUGUUCAUGGCCAGCAGUGGAUAUUUGUGACUAUAAUAAAUGGAUACAAAGAAACUAUGAUGGAUAAAUAUGGCCCCGUAAUGGAUAUUCAGUUGAUGGACAUACAAAGGUCACAGAAAUGUCUAUUUUCAGGUACUGUUCUUUCUUGUUUGCCUGCGAACAGGCUGUAGAUACUUAUAUCCAGGCCAUUGUUUGUUUUUUUUUGUUCUGGGUACAAUGAAAUCCGGCAUAAAUCCUGGCGGUCUAAAUGUUCAGUAUAUUUACAAAUUCGAUCUAUUUUCUGUUCAGUAGACUUCGAUAGCUUGAAAGAAAGUUUAUAACGAUGAUUUUCUCUGCAAAAACUGUACUUUCGAAAUUCGUCAGCUUCUGAAUUUGAUAACCGAUCU